UCAUUGUAUUUACAUUAAACACUUCCCUAUUUCAAAUCAUGUUUCAUACGUAUUUUCAUGUAUAUAUUCUCAUGAAUAUUCAUAUUUUUUUAUAUACAUAUUAUUCCCUAGCCCUAAUCCUACCCAAAAUUUAAUACUAAUCCUAUCUCAUCCUAUACCUAAACAUAAUUUUCCAUAAUAGCAUAUAUAAUAAUAUGAAUAUUUAUGUGUAUUUUGACAUUGAUAUUCAAUCAUUCAAGGUAUAUUUGUAUGUUAUUAAAUAUUCAUAUAUAAAAUUUACCCAUGCAUCCCAAAGUUAAAAAAGUGACUUCAGAAUAAACCCUUUGUUAUUUCAAAACAUAUACGUUUUCAAACAUAUUAGCACACAUUCUUAUGAAUAUUUGUUUCCUAAUAUACAUAUUUAUUCCCAAACCCUAACCCUAAAAGACCCUUCCAGGCUGCCUUCCAUCAGGACAGCAAUAUUUAGUGCUUCCUCAUAGUGCAGGUACAUUAAGCAUAAGGUGAUUGGCUUAUAGAUGUUAGGAGCUCAUGUGUGAUUGGUGGGCACGCCCUUUCUGAACUCUAACAGCUGUAUGCAUUCCAAAAAUAAAUGAGCUUGAGCUUGCUGAACAUCCACUGAGUUUGUUGAAUGUCGACUCCGGUUUCUCAUCUGCCAGCUCUCUCACCAGCUCCCAGUGUCGGUGUUGAUUUGACACUGCAUCUCUCCCUCCCACAACUGAGGUAGCGGAGUGACCAUCUAUCACAUCAGUGACUAGGAACACAUACAAAAGGCAUGCUGUCCAUCUACAACUACAAAAAAAAAAGAGAAUGUAUGUAUGAAAAUCUUAUAAAAACAUAUAAAUAUAUGUGAUUUGAAAUAGAGAAGGGAUUAAGGUGAAUCAUAUGAAUAGACUCUUUAAAUUUGUGGAUGCAUGGAUAAAUCACACAUAUGAAUAUGUAAUAAUAUAUACAAAUAUACCAUUGAGAAUUGAAUAUUGAAGGAAAAAUACACAUAAAUAUUACAUUAAUAUAUAUGAUCUUAUGUUAAAUUAGGUUUAUGUAGAGAAAUAAAUUUAGGAUUGGUAUUAAAUUUUGUGUAGGGAUAGGUUUAGGGUUGGAGAAUGAAUGUAUAUCAGAAAUUUAAUAUUCAUAUGAAUGUAUACAUUAAAAUUUAUAUGAACAUCUAUAGAAAUAUGUUUUGAAAUAGGGAAGGGUUUAAAGUGAGUCAUGUUAAUACACCUUUGAAAAUUUGGGGAUGCAUGGGAUAAAUUACAAACAUGAGUAUAUAAUAACAUGAAAAUAUCAUUGGUAAUUAAAUAUAUGUCAAAAUAUACAUGACUAUUCAAAUUAAUAUGUGUUUUAAUGUUAAAUUAGAUUUAGGUAUAGAGUGAAAGUUAAAUUUAAUAUUCAAUUUUAUGUUGGGUUAGGGUUAGGUUAGAGAAUAAAUGUGUAUAUUUGGAAACAUGAAUACUCAUAAAAAUAUAGGCAUGAAAAUUCAUAUAAAUAUGGAAGUUUUGAAAUAGAGAAGAGUUUAAAGUGAAUUGUACAAAUAUAAUUUUUGUAAUUUGGGGACACAUGGAUAAACAUAUGAAUAUAUAAUGAUAUAUAUGCAAACAUAUCAUUGAUAAUUGAAUAUAUAUGUCAAAUAUACAUAAAUACUCAUAUUAAUAUGCAUGCUUUUAUGUUAAAUAUGUUUAGUUAAAGGGGUACAUUUAGGGUUAGUAUUAAACUUUGUAUUGGGUACUGUUAAGGUUAGGGGAUGAAUAAGUAAUUGGGAAAUAUGAAUAUUCAUAAGAAUGUACAUAUAAAAUAUGUAUAAAAACAUAAAUUACAUGUUUUGAAAUAGGGAAGGGUGUGAAGUUAGUCAUAUCAAUACAAUUAUUAUAAUAUGGAAAUGCAAGGAUGAAACAUAAAUGAAUGUAUAAUAAUACAUAUGCAAAUGUUACCACUGAUAAUUGAAUAUAUAAGUCAAUAUACAUGUAAAUAUUCAUGUUAAUGUACAUGCUUUUAUGUUAAAUUGGGUUUACAUCUUGGAGUAAAUAUAGGGUUAGUAUUAAAUUUUGUGUAGUUUUAUGUUUAGGGUUAGGGAAUGAAUAUGUGUAUCAGAAACAUUAAUAUUCAUAAGAAUGUAUACACAAAAUAUAUAUAAAAACAUUUUUUUAGUUUUAUUGAUAUUAUUUUUUUAAUACAUGACAGCAGAAUGCAUUACAAUUCUUAUUACACAUAUAGAGUAC
RNAcentral lists this long non-coding RNA (2213 nucleotides) under Marmota monax (woodchuck). The record is from RNAcentral. Lineage: Eukaryota; Metazoa; Chordata; Mammalia; Rodentia; Sciuridae.